GGGCGCGUGGUGGAGUGGUUACCACGUCCGCUUUGCAUCCGCUUCGGAGAAGUGCACUAGCGGUAGGUCGCGGGUUCAAAUCCCGUCGUGUCCA
Non-coding RNA from Malassezia japonica, 94 nucleotides. The record is from the annotation of a RefSeq genome assembly. NCBI's taxonomy places the organism in Eukaryota, Fungi, Basidiomycota, Malasseziomycetes, Malasseziales, Malasseziaceae.